AGUGAACGCUGGCGGUAGGCCUAACACAUGCAAGUCGAACGGCAGCACAGUAAGAGCUUGCUCUUACGGGUGGCGAGUGGCGGACGGGUGAGGAAUACAUCGGAAUCUACUUUUUCGUGGGGGAUAACGUAGGGAAACUUACGCUAAUACCGCAUACGACCUACGGGUGAAAGCAGGGGAUCUUCGGACCUUGCGCGAUUGAAUGAGCCGAUGUCGGAUUAGCUAGUUGGCGGGGUAAAGGCCCACCAAGGCGACGAUCCGUAGCUGGUCUGAGAGGAUGAUCAGCCACACUGGAACUGAGACACGGUCCAGACUCCUACGGGAGGCACCAGUGGGGAAUAUUGGACAAUGGGCGCAAGCCUGAUCCAGCCAUACCGCGUGGGUGAAGAAGGCCUUCGGGUUGUAAGGCCCUUUUGUUGGGAAAGAAAAGCAGCAGGUUAAUACCCCGCUGUUCUGACGGUACCCAAAGAAUAAGCACCGGCUAACUUCGUG
This 492-nucleotide ribosomal RNA is filed under the name uncultured bacterium. RNAcentral's name for it is "partial 16S ribosomal RNA". It matches the Rfam family "Bacterial small subunit ribosomal RNA", at positions 29 to 507 of the family's 1533-position model. The record is from RNAcentral.